RNAcentral lists this ribosomal RNA (683 nucleotides) under uncultured bacterium. RNAcentral describes it as "bacterial SSU rRNA". It matches the Rfam family "Bacterial small subunit ribosomal RNA", at positions 240 to 916 of the family's 1533-position model. The record is from RNAcentral.
AUCAGCUUGUUGGUGAGGUAACGGCUCACCAAGGCUACUACGGGUAACCGGACUGAGAGGUCGGCCGGUCACAUCGGGACUGAGACACUGCCCGGACAUCUACGGAUGGCUGCAGUAACGAAUAUUCCGCAAUGGGCGCAAGCCUGACGGAGCGACGCCGCGUGGAGGACGAAUUCCUUCGGGAUGUAAACUCCUUUUAGGGUUAGGAAAGCGAGGGGUGUUAAUAUCACUCUGAGUUGAUCCAGCCCAGAAAAAGCACCGGCUAAUUCCGUGCCAGCAGCCGCGGUAAGACGGGAGGUGCGAGCGUUGUUCGGAAUCAUUGGGCUUAAAGCGCGUGUAGGCGGCUGGGUAAGUAUCUUGUGAAAUCCCACGGCUCAACCGUGGAAUCGCUUGGUAUACUGCCCGGCUUGAGGCAGGUAGGGGUCACUGGAACUCUAGGUGGAGCGGUGAAAUGCGUAGAUAUCUAGAGGAACGCCCGUGGCGAAAGCGGGUGACUGGGCCUGUCCUGACGCUGAGACGCGAAAGCGUGGGUAGCAAACGGGAUUAGAUACCCCGGUAGUCCACGCCGUAAACGAUGCGCACUAGGUUUGCUAACCUCUGACGGUUAACGAGCCGAAACAAAAGCGAUAAGUGCGCCGCCUGGGAAGUACGGCCGCAAGGCUAAAACUCAAAUGAAUUGACGG